UCUCCGUUGGUGAACCAGCGGAGGGAUCAUUACAGGACUCGCAAGACUCCUUCACCCUGUGAACCACACUACAAGCACGUUGCUUCGGCGGGUGUCCCGGCGGGGGUUUUCCCUCGCCUGGGCGCACAGCCCGCCGGCAGCCUACUAUACUCUGUCUCUUUGCGUUGGCAUUUCGAGAAAAAACAAACAAGUUAAAACUUUCAACAACGGAUCUCUUGGUUCUG
RNAcentral lists this unclassified non-coding RNA (224 nucleotides) under plant metagenome. RNAcentral describes it as "partial contains small subunit ribosomal RNA, internal transcribed spacer 1, and 5.8S ribosomal RNA". The record is from RNAcentral.